RNAcentral lists this ribosomal RNA (240 nucleotides) under uncultured bacterium. RNAcentral describes it as "partial 16S ribosomal RNA". It matches the Rfam family "Bacterial small subunit ribosomal RNA", at positions 929 to 1167 of the family's 1533-position model. The record is from RNAcentral.
GCGGUGGAGGCAUGUGGAUUUAAUUCGAAGCAACGCGAAGAACCUUACCAAGUCUUGACAUCCCGAUGACAAGCUAUGUAAUGUAGCCUCUCUUCGGAGCAUCGGUGACAGGUGGUGCAUGGUUGUCGUCAGCUCGUGUCGUGAGAUGUUGGGUUAAGUCCCGCAACGAGCGCAACCCCUGUUCUUAGUAGCCAGCGGUUCGGCCGGGCACUCUAGGGAGACUGCCAGGGAUAACCUGGA